Molecule: long non-coding RNA, 343 nt
Filed under: Panax ginseng (ginseng)
Lineage: Eukaryota; Viridiplantae; Streptophyta; Magnoliopsida; Apiales; Araliaceae
Description: long non-coding RNA (PGIN_LNC000826)
Source: RNAcentral
UUCUGGGUAACCCAGAAAGUUUAGAACAGGGUCUGACAACAUCUUUAAGCUCCUUAAUCUGUCAGUCAUGUUAGUGUUUUGAUGAUAUGUUGUAUUAAGAUUGUAGCUUGUAAUGUGGACUCUAGAUCCAUGGCCUUAGACCUCUUAAACAAUCAAUAUAUCGAUCGUAGCAAGUGGUCAAAGAAGGCCACUCGCACUAAUUGGCAUUUCUGGGAUUUUCCAGAAACAUGAAGAACCUUAUUUCUAACAGCCUUUGACCGGCUUUGAUCUUGUUUCUGACAAGCUUUUAGGAUGUAUAAUGGUAUCUAGAGUAAAGUAUGACAUGCAAACUAUAAGUACGAAG